GUGGAAGACGUUUCCUAUUUCUUUUUUGCUGAUGAUACUGGGUACCUUAGUAGUGAUGAAGAUGCCAAGAUAGUGACUACUAAACUACAGCACGCACAAAACAAACUGGAGCAGUUUCAACACCGGUGGAAGAUUAAAAUCAAUCCAGCGAAAACCCAAGUUAUCUUUUUCACUAAGAGAAGGGCUGCCCAUCGUUUUCCCUCAACAAAGGUAAAAAUUAAUGGAGUUCCAGUCACAUGGACGAAGGAAGAAGAUCAGCUCUGCAACCAGCCAACAAGCUACUGUUAUUCAAAUGCAUUUUUCGACCAGUGCUACCUAUGGAUCGCCGGUUUGGCAAAACUGCGCAAAAAGUCACCUUAAACGACUACAAACAAAACAAAAUAAACUGUUGAAAAUGAUCUUCGCCUUGCCUCCGCAUUUCCGAACGGAUGAACUGCAUAAUAUAGCUGAGGUGGAACCGUUAACAACAUUCAUCGAAAGAACAUCAGCCAGAUUUCGGACUUCCUGUCAAACUUCUUCAAAUCCUCUGAUUGAAGCAUUAAAUCCAAGACUGUGAUAAUAGCAUAGAUAGUUUAAGAAACAGAUUCUGACUUUUAGGUUUUUUUUUGUCAAAACUUUUUCCUAUCAGUGUAAUGCUCAAUUAAUGUAAACUAAAAGCUAUUUUCCAAGACAGUGUAUAAUGAACUUAUGAUGCAGCUGCAAGAUAUAUCAAAACUCUGCAAUGUAACCGUUAUGUAAAGAAAAAUAAAAAUGAAAUGAAAUGAAAUGAAAAAA
This is a long non-coding RNA of Armigeres subalbatus, 774 nucleotides long. RefSeq lists it as uncharacterized. Lineage: Eukaryota; Metazoa; Arthropoda; Insecta; Diptera; Culicidae. The transcript is spliced from 2 exons. The record is from RefSeq and is a predicted model, not a curated record.